UUAAUUAUAGGAAUUAUAGGGCCACAGUUCAGGUACAUAAACUCCUAAAGCCAAUAGAGAAAGGUAGAAACACAAAUGUGAAAUGUUAAUGUUUUGGUUCUGAGGUGUUGGCUCUUGUCCCCAUAUGGUGUAGUUUCAUCAGACAACAAUUCUUAUUAACUGACUUUGGUCUAGCAUUAGUUGGUACCACAAAAGUAAUUUAGCUAAGGCUUCAAAAUUGGAUGUUGUGUUUUCCUCUUCCAGUGCAGAGCCAAUAAGAUGAAAAGGUUGAUUUUAAUCUCAGUUAUGCAUCUCCCGUGUCUCUUUUAUGCUCAUUGUUGCUACAUGCUUGCUUCAGAGAGGACUAUGUUAGUUUACUUCCCACUGAUGUUGUAUAUAGUUGCAUGUUUUCUUAGACUAUUUUAUUUGACCUACAGAAAUGUUCCCUUGCUUUGGUUGGAUGGGUGUAGGAGCAGCAAGCAUCGCCGCCACCCGGAAAACUCCAGUAACUUCUUGCCCCUUCCAGCCUCGGUGAGAUGGCAUCGUAUUUUUUGUAUGUGUACAUUUCUGCUUGUGGUGGCAUUUUUGCAAUCCUUUACUUUGGGUUUUGAUUUUUUUUCAUUUCAUGGUUGUUGUCGCAGGAUCAUGAACGACUUCAAGCUGAAGAUGUUGAACCAUGCGAUGCAAGAAUUAUUAUUUUGGGCUCCUAUGGAAGACUCAUGUAAUUGCUGUCAAGAACACUGUCAGUUCAGCGGUUGUCAUCAUGCAAGCAAUUGGCCGCUGAUCUGCUUGCUCUUUGUACUACUAAAGGCAGUGUUUUUUCCCUCCCAGUAAAUUACACUAUUUUCAGGUGGCAUCAUACGGUGAAGCAGGGGAUAUGGAUCAGAAGCCGCAAUGGUGCGCGUGACGACAUGUCUAACACUUGCCUGACCCUGGACUCUGGCUUCUUCUUACAAGUUGACCAUACUAUUGUGAGAAUCUCGGCCAGGAUCAUUCUUUAUAUCAUGUUGGAUCAUCUUGGAAUUUGUAGAGUAAUUUAUCGUCUAAGGAUGUACUCACAGAACACAAUCAGUGUGGUUGUGCUUUUCUACACUUCUGUCCAGAGCAAUGGGAUAUGUAUUCUGUACUGUACGGCUACCCUCUAAUGCAUUUCUCAGACUUCAGUCU
Molecule: non-coding RNA, 1146 nt
Organism: Aegilops tauschii subsp. strangulata
Lineage: Eukaryota; Viridiplantae; Streptophyta; Magnoliopsida; Poales; Poaceae
Source: RefSeq, a predicted model, not a curated record